This 2155-nucleotide long non-coding RNA is filed under the name Gossypium raimondii (Peruvian cotton). Its description in RNAcentral is "long non-coding RNA (GRAI_LNC009812)". The record is from RNAcentral. Lineage: Eukaryota; Viridiplantae; Streptophyta; Magnoliopsida; Malvales; Malvaceae.
GAACAAUACUGAAUAUAUACAUAUUUAUACCACAUUACAUAAAGUCAUCUAUACAUGCCAUGUUUCCAAAGUAUUAAUUGCAAAAUACCCAAAAAGUUGAUGAUAGUGUGGAUGAUUAUCUGACGUCGUCCAAGUUCCGAGUUGAUUGAUGUCACUAUAAUCAAGGGAAAAUAAAAACAAGUAAGAAUAUAGCUUAGUAAGUAAACAUAUGACCAAUAAAUAAAUUCCUCACAUGAUUACAUAGUAACAUAAUUUUAAUCACACAUAAAUUUCAUUGUUUGUUCAAUUUCCAGCAAGCUGUUUUUCUGCAUCAUGGUCACUAAUUUAUUUUUAUCUGGAGAUACAGGGCUCCAAAUUAAGUUCUGUAAAUUUUCCCCAGAACUAAAUUCAUAUAUCUUUCAACCAUAAAAUUUUCAGAAUUUUUGGUUUGGCCAAUUAUUACAGUUCAUUCUCUAAAGAUUCCCCUGUUUCACUGCUCAACAGUUCUGACCUAUUCUUACUAAAAUUUUCUUAACUCCCUUUACAGAAUUAAAAAAAUGUUAUCGUUUAUUUAUAUUAAAAAUAGACUCAUUAAAAAAUCCAAAAAUAUAAAUUUCAGGCCAUAAUUAUUUUUUUACAAUUUAUGGUGAUUUUCCAAAGUUGGAACAGGGGAUUUCGAAAUCAAUUCAACCCUGUCUCAAUAAAAUUCAAAUAUCCCCAAAUAUACAACUCUUUUGCUUGCUCUAUUUCUUUCAUAUGAAAAUAAACUCGUCCAGAUUUAAUUUCAUAUAUUAUUCAACCUCUAAUUCAUUUUCCACCAUUUAUGGUGAUUUUUCAAAGUUGCCCAACUGUUAUUAUUCAAAACAGUUUUGUAUUAUUGUUCUUUUGUAUUUUUGAUAUUUCCUCCCAUCUUACAUAUGGGUUGAUUAAGUAUCAAACCCAAUAUUCCUCCCAUAAACUUGUCCACCAUAUAUAAAUAUUCACCUUUCCAAUUUCCUCGUUGAACACUCGGAAUAUUAUCCGUUAUCGGUGGAUUCAGCACUUAGCAACCACCAAUGAGUCGGGGAAUCAGCACUUAGCAACCCCUUUCACAUUUAAGAUACGGUGGGAUCAACACUUAGCAACCACCAAUGAUUCGGGGAAUCAGCACUUAGCAACCCCUCGGGGNNNNNNNNNNNNNNNNNNNNNNNNNNNNNNNNNNNNNNNNNNNNNNNNNNNNNNNNNNNNNNNNNNNNNNNNNNNNNNNNNNNNNNNNNNNNNNNNNNNNCAUUUAAGAUACGGUGGAAUCAGCACUUAGCAACCACCAAUGAAUCGGGGAAUCAGCACUUAGCAACCCCCUUUAUAUUCAAUGUAAUCCGGCCUAUUCCGAGUGUUCAACCGGAAACCGUGUUUUUCAACACUUUACCACCUUUCCCAACUUAACCACACUUUUAGAAUCUUUACCAAAUAUUUAUGUUCAAAUAAAUCUCAACAUAUAUCAAAUAAUAUCAAAAAUAUGCAUUAUUUCACAUGUUUACUUACCUCGGUGCAAAAUAUCGUAAUUUUGCAAUUUACUCAACUAUCUUCUCUUUUCCCCGUUUGAGGUAGUCUUCUCAUCUUUCUUGAUCUAUAAUAUCAAAUUUAACUCAUUUAAUGUUCAAAUUUAAUAAAAUAGUCCUCCACCCAACUUUUUGAAAAAUUACAAUUUUGCCCCCAAACUUUUGAAUAUUUACACUUUUGUCCCUAAGCUCGGAAAUUAAAUUUCAUCUCCUAUUAUUAUGUUUUACAACAUGCUGAACACUUUUCCCUUCUAUAGCAACAUCAAAUUCUCACUCUAACACAUACUUUUGAACAAUAAUUAUUUUUACCGAUUAUGUCAAUUUACCCGUUUUCGUUUAAAAUCGCUUAGCAAAAGUUGUUUAACAUAAUUUCUAGCUUCAUAUUCCACCAUAAAACAGAAAAAUAAACACUUUUCACUGAUGGGUAUUUUUUCAAAUAUAAACCCUAGGUUAAAUUAUUGCUAGAAUAAGCUAAAUUAAGCUAUCGGGACUCCAAAAACGUAAAGAACAUUAAAAACGGGGCUUGGAAUCACUUACUAUUGAGCUUGGAAGCUUAAAAACCCUAACUAUGGCUUCCCCCUUGCUGAUUUUGUUCACCAUGGAGAAGAUGAGCACAUUUUUCCAUCUUUUUCCCUUUU